UCCGUCCAGCUAGUCGCAUUCAAACCGCGAGAUCGAGCACAUGUUCCGUCUUGCCGAUCGUUCGUUCGUUCGUUUGCUUUUCCACUUCGUUCUGCGUCGUAGUUCGAAAACAACAAACUUGUCGGUAGGCUCGAGCGCGCCGCUAUCACCGGGUCAUGCCGUUAUGGUAAUCGUGGAGUCGUCGAGAGAGUGAUAACAAAUCGUGUCGAACCAACGUAGUGAAAAAUAAAGAAUCAAAAAACCAAACCGGUGAAUUGAACGGGAAACUGCAUUCUGAACGUAUGUAUGCUGUGCAAUGCUGCGAAACAAGUGAAAUUAAUGGUAAUUAAACCUCAAUUGAAUGUGCAUCGCCCCUCGGCUCCACCACCAUGCUGGUGAUACCCAACAGAGUGUGAGU
Molecule: long non-coding RNA, 397 nt
Organism: Aedes aegypti (yellow fever mosquito)
Lineage: Eukaryota; Metazoa; Arthropoda; Insecta; Diptera; Culicidae
Exons: 2
Source: RefSeq, a predicted model, not a curated record